Molecule: ribosomal RNA, 433 nt
Filed under: uncultured bacterium
Lineage: Bacteria
Description: partial 16S ribosomal RNA
Rfam family: Bacterial small subunit ribosomal RNA
Source: RNAcentral
AACGAACGCUGGCGGCAUCCCUAACACAUGCCAGUCGAACGAGACCUUCGGGUCUAGUGGCGCACGGGUGCGUAACGCGUGGGAACCUGCCCUUAGGUUCGGAAUAACUCCCCGAAAGGGGUGCUAAUACCGGAUAAUGUCUUCGGACCAAAGAUUUAUCGCCUUUGGAUGGGCCCGCGUUGGAUUAGCUAGUUGGUAGGGUAAAAGCCUACCAAGGCGACGAUCCAUAGCUGGUCUGAGAGGAUGAUCAGCCACACUGGGACUGAGACACGGCCCAGACUCCUACGGGAGGCAGCAGUGGGGAAUAUUGGACAAUGGGCGAAAGCCUGAUCCAGCAAUGCCGCGUGAGUGAUGAAGGCCUUAGGGUUGUAAAGCUCUUUUACCCGGGAUGAUAAUAACAGUACCGGGAGAAUAAGCUCCGGCUAACUCCGUG